This 477-nucleotide ribosomal RNA is filed under the name Triticum aestivum (bread wheat). Its description in RNAcentral is "partial small subunit ribosomal RNA". Lineage: Eukaryota; Viridiplantae; Streptophyta; Magnoliopsida; Poales; Poaceae. The record is from RNAcentral.
AUGGCAGCGUUCAACCAGUUCUACAACCUAGUAGGCAGUAAUUUUAGAGCCCUGAACACUAUGGUGGUUGCAUUACUGCCCAAAAAGGGCGGAGCAGUGUCUAUUAACGACUACCGGCCAAUCAGCCUCAUACAUUCCAUAGCAAAGUUGAUCUCCAAAGUUCUGUCCCUUAGGCUGGCCAACGUGAUCCACACGCUCAUCUCACCAGCACAGUCGGCAUUUCUCCGGACAAAAUGCAUCCACGAUAGCUUCCUAUAUGUUCAAAACUGCAUCAAGGCCUUACAUAGACGGAAAACACCGGCUCUGCUUCUUAAGUUAGACAUCGCCAAGGCCUUCGAUAAUGUGUCUUGGGAGUACAUCCUAGAGAUGCUGCAACAACGGGGUUUUAGCACGCGGUGGAGAGAUUGGAUAUCCUUGCUGUUGUCCUCCUCCUCGCCGUCCUUCCUCCUUAACAGAGUACCAGGAAAAAAGAUCUGA